RNAcentral lists this unclassified non-coding RNA (721 nucleotides) under Hevea brasiliensis (rubber tree). Lineage: Eukaryota; Viridiplantae; Streptophyta; Magnoliopsida; Malpighiales; Euphorbiaceae. The record is from RNAcentral.
GCAAGAUGGCAUAUUGUUUGACAAUAUCUUGAUUGCUAGUGAUGAAGAAGUUGCAGAAUCAUACAGGAAGACUGCCUGGAAACCCAAGUUUGAUGUAGAAAAGGAGAAACAGAAAGCUGAGGAAGAAGCAGAAUCUGGUGGCCUCAAAGGAUACCAGAAAUUAGUAUUUGACCUCCUCUACAAGGUAGCUGGUAUCCCAUUCUUGGGUGAACACAAGACCAAAGUAUUGGAUCUUCUCGAGAAAGCUGAGAAACAGCCCAAUAUCACAGUUGGUGUCGUUGUCUCAAUUGUAGUGGUUGUCUUCUCAGUUCUAUUGAAGCUCAUUUUCGGUGGGAAGAAGCAGCAACCUGCUAGAGCUAGUGCCGAGACUGAGAAAACUGACGGAGCUGAAACCUCGACUUCCAAUAGUCAAGCCGCUGAGGAGAAGGAAGAGCAGAGUGAGGAUGCUGGUGCUGCUCCUCGUCGAAGGACUAGGCGCGACAAUUAGGAUGGGGAAAGGUUCUAGUGACCGCAGUCGGACUUAUUUUAGAUUUUUGAUCUAGUAGUUGUUCCUGUUGUUUUGAUAUCUUUUUCCUCUUUUCUCAAAUUCUUGAUGAUCAAGGCAAGCAAGUUUUUCCAGCGAUGUUGCUUCCCCUCAAAACAAGCAUGUAUCACAGUAUUGUAUAUGAGACAAUUUUUAUCUGGAUGUUAUCCUCUUUUAUAUCAUAGAUUUUUAAAGAAG